RNA transcript from Schistocerca gregaria, 7364 nucleotides. RefSeq lists it as uncharacterized. The record is from RefSeq and is a predicted model, not a curated record. The transcript has 5 exons. Lineage: Eukaryota; Metazoa; Arthropoda; Insecta; Orthoptera; Acrididae.
GCCGUGGCGGGUGGCGCAGAUAUUUUUUAUCUUUCGAAUUCGAAAGUUAGACACACGUGCGGUUUUGUCAGUAGAUACAUGUGGAAUGAGUGUAUUUUGCCCUUACUGUUACUCUGUGUUGCGGAGUUUUCCGUGUAAGCAGUGAAAUUUUUGUUGUGUCCAACAUGAUUUUUCAGUGUCAUGUGUGCAAUAAGGUCUAUCCUAAAAAAGGAAAUUUGAAUAGACAUCUGUUAGAGGUUCAUGGACUGCAAAUAGAGCAGAAAAAAUUGUGUGCGCCCUGGGUAAUGAAAGAAGUACUUCUGAAAAGUGCCUGUUUGAACAUUUACAGUCUGAACAUGAAGUAGAUGUGAAAUAUUACAUUUUAGUACCGCUGAUGAAUUUCAGAAGUGGAAGGAGCAAACUGAGCAGACAACGCUCUCAAAGUUCGUCAAACGUCGUGUUUCCCAUGCUAAGGUUUGAUUCAGAAGUUGUUUCUUAUAUUUGUCACCUGUCUGGUAAGUUUGUGUCUAGACGAAAAAACGUGUGAUGUCUUAAAUUGCAAGGUAGUAGUAAGAUUGAUGCACUGUGCCCUGCUAAGAUGAGUAGAUAUAUAAAAGAAUGGAACCUGCUGUGUGAAAUAUGUUUCAACCCAUGUUGGCCACAAAUCCGAGUUAUGUCAUUUGCAACUAACAAAAAGAGAAUGGGAAAGUAUUGCUGCAGAUAUAGCAAGUGGCAUACCAUUCUGUCAUAUUAGCCAAACUUCGAGAUGCAGUUGUAGAUUCGAACUUGGAAACGAUAUAUUUGGUUACGAGACAGGAUCUACAUAAUACAGAUCAGUCUUAUAAUUUGUCCUUAAAGUCAUAAAGACACCAUAAUGAUGCAAUAAAUGUUGAAGCAUGGGUAAAUGAAGUAAAUGGUGGAGACAGUCCUUGUGUGCUUUUCUAUAGAUUAGAUUAAUACUUGUUCCAUAGAUCAUGAAAACGACACUUCGUAAUGAUGUGGAACGUGUCAGGUUAAAGAAAGAUGUCUGUACAAGAUAUUACAUUACACAAAAUAUUGCAUGACACUAAUGCUUAAGUUAGUUUCUUUUUCCUCCCUUAAUUUAUAUCAAAAAUUCAGCCAAUGAGUAGAAGUUGUCAUCUAGAAAUUCUUUUAAUUUAUUUUUAAAUGUUGGUUGACUAUUUGUCAGGCUUUUGAUGCUGUUUGGUAGGUGACCAAAGACUUUUGCGGCAGAAAAAUGUACCCCCUUCUGUGCCAGUCAGAUUUAAUCCUGCAUAGUAAAGAUCAUCCUUUCUCCUGGUGCAAUAGCUAUGCACACUGUUAUUACUCUUGAACUGGGCUGGAUUAUUAGCAACAAAUUUCAUAAGUGAAUAUAUAUACUGUGAGGAUCCCUAGAUCCUUAAAUAGAUGUCUGCAGAAUAACCGUAGGUGGACUCUAGCAAUUAUUCUGAUUACACGUUUUUGAGCAAUGAAUACUUUUCUCCUCAACGAUAAAUUACCCCAGAAUAUGAUACCACACGAAAGCAGUGAAUGAAAGUAGGCAUAGUAAGCUAAUUUACUGAGAUUCUUAUCACCAAAAUUUGCAAUAACCCUAAUAGCGUACUUAGCCGAACUCGGACGUUUCAGCAGACCAUCAAUGUUUAGAUUAAUACUUGUUCCACAGAUCAUGAAUAAGACACUUCGUAAUGAUGUGGAACGUGUCAGUAUGUAGUAAAUGUGUCAAGCGUUUAGACAAAGCUAUUUUUCCAUUGAUGUCAUUUGUGUAGCACAAGCUGUUUGACAGGUUUAAUGUGCUAAAUAAGGGUAAACUGACGAGUAAACUUAAGGACAUUCGCCUUCGGCAUAAAUCGGGGAAUAAUAUUAAGGACUUCAUUACUAUGGAGGUUUCUGGUUGGAAAGUACCUUCUUCUUCAAGAAGGUCAACAGAUUAUUUUGUAUGAUAAUGACUUUCAGUGCAACUGCAGAUUGAUGUGCAUCAAAUGUAGGGCUUGUAUUCAUAGGUAUUCUUGUACAUGUAUUGACUACACCAUCAAAUGGAAUAUGUGCAAGUACAUACAUAGUGUUUGCCAGAUUAAGUUGAAGCAGCAACCUUCUGAACACCCAGGAAAUAGUGAAGUUACACUUAUUUAGAGUGAAGAUAUUUCUGUUGUAAAUGAGAAAACAGAUACUAGCGGAGGUAACACAAAAAGGGUUAAUUAUUCUGUACCUUUGUCAGUCCAAAGAAGGGAACUUAUCGCAGAGUUUUCUGGUAUUGUAUCUGAACUGACCUCAAAUGGCUGGGAUACUGCUAAAAAAAAAAAAAUGUUAUCACUAAAGGCAACUGUAGCUGUCGGAAUGUUGCAGCAAAAACAGGCACCGCUGCAAAUAGAAAGGAAACGAGCACAAAAGAUUUUACCUCAAUGUUGACUGUACUCUACAAAGAAAAACAAAAGGAAUAAUAGUGCAUCCCUGGUUCUACUAAAUUCAGAAGAAUCCAGUUUGAUCAAAUUCUCUCUACUGGCAGACAAAGAAGAUGCACUUGUGGAAAAAGGUUCAGCUGUCCAAAAGCAACCAACAGAGGGUGUAGCAGGUCCAUCCCCCAUUACAGCAUGUGCCCUACAGCACAGCCCGACGAAUUGUAUUAUAAAUCCAGGCGUUAAUGUACAUUUUUGUUAUAAAAUAUCAUUCUAGUUUUAUGCCAUAGUUCCUUGUAAGUUACAGCAAUCCGGUUUGCAAUUCUGCUUGCAGGCUCAACUCCCAUGAUUCAGCCAAUAGCAAAACGGGCUGAGGUGGUAUCUGGUCCAUCUCUCGCUACAUUGUAUGUGCUGAAACACAGCCCGAGUAAUAACUCAACUUCCACAAUUCAACCCAUACCAAAACAGGCUGCAGUGGUACCACAUUCAUCCAUCGGUACAGUGCGUGUGUUGCUACACAACAAAUGGUGAUUUUCUAUUAAUCAAGGCAUUAGUGCUGUUCUCCCACAUUUAAACCAGUGCCAGGCCAGGAUAAGAUGGCAUCAGUGCCUUCCCUUACUACAGUGCAUGUGCUGCAACACGGCUAUGGAAUGGUUGGUUCUGUGACAGCAUGGAUGUGAUAGAUGGAACGACAGCAUCGCCUAUGCCUCUGAGAAGCACAAGCAGAAUGUGGAGAUGGUACAGGAUGAAGCAUGUAUCAUUGACCAUGACACCUAGCCAAACUGCUAGGUACAGAGUUCAGCUGUGUGGAGAUUUACUUCCUAGUGUUCACAAUACCAACAUAAAGUGCAGCUGCAGGGAAAGAUUCUCAGAGUGAAGGUUGAAGGUGCUGCACUUCAUAUUGGACAGAUCGUGCUUCAGUAGAUUAGUAAUUUGCUGUCAGUCAGUGUGAGUGAACUUGACAUGUUGGUCAACUCUGGUCAAGUGCAGACCACUUUUUUAGUUAGGCUGUGUGCUAAGAUCUUUGAAUUAUUUUCAGCUUGGAACAACAUUGUUCCUUUUAUUUUCUCAGAAUGUGCCAUACAGUAUAUAGGCAAGAUUGUGAACUCACUUUGUAUGAUUGUUUUUCUCCUUAAUUAUCUCCCCUGCUGCUCAGAUGUCUAAAAAAUGUGUUCUUUGUGAAGACUGUCUCUGUAAGUCGAAGCAGUGACCAGCAACACAAUAUUCUGUUUACUCUUGAUUCAAUGCUUAACAUAUUCUGCAAUUGACACUUAUUACAAGUUAAUAGCACAUGCAUAAGCCAACAGCGAAAGUGUUAAUUGCUAAUAUUUGAAUCUUGUGAGUAGCUAAAUGAGAUAAUGCUAGUUUAAUGGCUUCCUACUGUCCUCACAAAUUAUAAACACUAGUUUUUUAUUACCCCCUUCACACCACUUUUCAGCACCUGAUAUGUGCAUGCAACAUUUUUGCUGUUUGGAAAGGUUUUAAAAAAUUUUAUUUCAACACAGUUAGCCAAGAUAUUUUUAGCCAAAAUAAUCAGUUUAAUUCUGCUAGCUGCAAUGGUAUGCAGUGAACUUUUUAAAUGCUAUUAGUAGACUGUACACGAGGAUUGAUUGUUGGGGAUAUGGUAGUUACCUUAUGCAUUGAUUAUCUCUUUGUUCUGUGUUCAGGAGUGUAACAGGCUUGUACUGUGUGUGAUGAGACUAAAAGUUUUCCAAUGAGUGUUGUGCAGUUCUUAACAUACUAGACUUCCAUUUGUUGUUGUGACAGUCAAUUCCUAAUCUAACAACACAGAUUGGUUUUUUCAUUAUUUUUGAAGCUCCCUCCAGACUAAUAGCCAGAAUGCUUCUUUUGAGAAUUUAGGGUUUUUUCUUCCUAACUUUGGAUGCCUGUUUCAUUGUUAGCCGUUUCACCCUGUCAGUUACCAUAUAAUGGUAAAAUUUAACUUGCGGUUCAAGUGGCAUGCUGUGCUGAUGUCAUCAGUGACCAACCUUGAAAUAAUUAAUCCUGUUCCUACUCUAUGGUUGACAUGUUCUUGCAUGUACCCGCAUCUGCUCAGUAAAUUAAUUUUACCUAGUAAAGUGAACAUUUAGAAAAAGUGCUUACAAGAAAUGAAAUAUUAGAGAAUAAUUUCGAGCACUACACAGUUGUUGCCAACAUCACCACACGAGGGCACCUAAGCUGUAAGUAAAGUUUAACCCAUAUAAAUGUGAUUUCUUGUUUCCUCAUUGUCAUGUCACAAGGAGCAUGAGUGUGCCAGCUAAUGCGCAGCAAUAAGUUAAUAAGUUACUUGUCCUGUGACGAGUUGGAGAAUUAAAGUGUCAUAAGAUUGCACCAAGCUUCCUGGUAUGACAGUGGCCACCAAUAGACACUGUAGUAUUUGUGAGGAUGAAUGUGUCAAGUUGACAGAUUCUCAGUACGUCGUACAAAUAAUCAUUUGAUAGUGUGCACACUUGAUUCUAUUUGGGCCUAACUUUUUGUUCUUAGUAUUGGUUAUGUUGAGGCUGCUGUGCAUAUCAUCUCUACCGUGAUUUUCAGAGCAACUGUAUUACCUAAAGUUCUAAUCCAAAGUUCCAUUAAUGUGGUUGUUCUUGAAUCCUGUAGUCUUGGAUUAUCUUUCACACAAUUUCUUAUGGUAUUUCCAGUACUUGAGAAGGAACUCGGAUUUUUCAUUGUUUUGAACACACAUUAUCCACUGCCCACUGACUGUUCCGUAUUGAAGCAUAACUACUGUUUUAUAAUAGGCUUACUUAAAUUUGGCUUGUAACUGCAGUGUGACGUUACAUUGUGCCACAAUAAUCUUCACUAAUCAUUAAUUGUCUAAAAUUAAUAAAGUCUUAGGCCAACAUUCCUUUACUACUUCCAAACUGUUUGCAGUUUUCACCACUGGCUUGUGAAAUAUACUUGAUUACACUUUCAAUACACAUAACGUACUAGUGCUACCAUUGUCUGAUCCCAGUGCAUGUCAGGAGAGCACCAAACUGGGCAGUGACUUUUAAGUAUUUUAUUUACUGCCAAAAAUAUGUCAAUAAAUGUGAUCUGUAAAUACAAAUAAAUCGCCAAAGUAAAAACUGAGGUUAACCCAUCUGUAACUGACAAACUUCCAUUGCUUGACUGAUUGCUGUGGGAUGUUGACAGUUGGAUAAAAUGGCGUCUUUUUCCUUCACAACAUAUAGUGUAAAACAACCCAUCCCCUGUGUUAGUCUCACCUGCAAAGUAACAAACAGCCAAAGGUUUCACUUGACAGUGUUACAUUUCCAGAUCAGGAUAAUCAGUAUUUAAAUUCUCGUUUUCUGUACAUUUGAGGUGCAAUGACUCUCAUUUUCCAUGCCUUGUUGAUGUCUUAUGCUGAUUUCUCGUAGACAGGUAACUUAUUGAAACUGAAAAAGUUCACUGCACUGUUCGUGGUAACACAACUUAUUUAUAGUUUUCAUCAGAUAAUACUAACCUUACAAAGAAUUCUUGGGCUGUAAUUUAUGGGUUGAAAGGCUGUGGUCACUGCAUAAAACUACUACUCCAAGUGCAGGAGACAUCUUCAGAGGUACAAUGGUAACUUUCAUUCUACCUCGGAAGUUAGACAUGAAACGUCAGGAAAAAGUAAUUUUAUACAUCAACCAUGGCCUUUUAACCUGGAAAUUUUGACUCAAGAAAAUGCUGGCCAUGAAAGCCUACAUUGUAUGACUUGACAAAAAUUGUCACCUGCUGUGUCCCAUAGAAGUACAAUAAUUAAUAGUAGUAAUGUUAAGCACAUACUAAAUAAAUUACAUUCAGCAACAUGUUCAAGCAUAUUAUUUAAGGAUGUAUCAUUCAAAAUUAAGCACAGUUUGUUUGUAUUCACUGAGAAAGAAAUAGAACGACACAAACAAUGUAUUCUGCACUAUGCUAAUCUUUAUUUUACCUCUUUGUGCUGCUGUGGAUUGGAAAUAAUAUGUGGCAGAAUAGAUAUGGUGUGAUUUGGAUCCAUUGUCUGAAUGGAAAUGUUGGUAUACUUAAAAGCUAUAUAGAAGAGGUCAGGACAUGUCAAAUUAGCAACAGAUAAAAUAUUUGCACACAGUUAUUUCUAGAUACUAUUUUUGUACUACAAAAUGCUAAGAGGGCAGAUUCUCUAUAUUGACCUGUUUCACCUUGUUCAAGUUCUUAACACUAUGUAGCCUUCUGACAUUGCGUAGAGCUAAACAAAAGGAUGCUUUCAUUUGGGAACUGCUUUUCAACAAUGAAAUUAUUUCAGAGAUAGUACUCAGAACCAUUGAAAGACUACAUAAUUGCCAGAUGAGUAAAGCAAAAUUGUCUCAAAAGUAACUAACAAUACGUAAAUCAAGAUAAUUGUUGGUUUUUGUUAUUCUUUGGGGGGCUUUGAUAAGAGUGUGAAGAACUGGAUUGGUUGUAUGCUAUAAACAGCACUGGAAGACUGAAUUUUGGAGCAACUAUACCCUUGCAAUGUCUAUUAUUUUGCCUUCGAUUUGAUGUUUCAGCAACCUGUGAUGCCAGGAAACUCACAAAUAAACUAUAUCAUGUGCCAGAUGUUGAGCACCAUUGUGUUUGGAAGUUCCAUUGUUCUGUGUGCAAACGGUUUUGGAAGUUUAGAUGAAUAAAGUUUCUGAAACUGACUGGAAAGAAACUUAAUUAUCAAAAAUUAAGAUUUUAUUGCAAUUCAUGAUACUGUGAAAUAUUUUUAUAAUUGCUGUACAUUCAGCUAAAAGUUAAAGUAAAAUUUUCUUGUAAGUUAUGCCUGCAGAAACUUUCGUACUGAAUUUAAUCUUUUCUUUUGGUUUAUAAUUUUGAUGUAAAAUCAUAUUUUCUGUUUAAAUAUGAAGUUUCAAUUGUAUAUCUUAAUAUUUGUAGCUGAUGUGUAGAAUUUUUGAAAACUGUUUUUUCACAUUCUGUAUGUUUUGUAUGUCACUGUAUUACUUCAUAAAGUCUAUAAGAUAUGACAAAUUAUGAAUAUAGUCUUAAAAUUGUAGUAAUAAAUCCUAAUUAAAAAUUUAAUAUUUAAAU